Long non-coding RNA from Canis lupus familiaris (dog), 913 nucleotides. RefSeq lists it as uncharacterized. The transcript has 2 exons. The record is from RefSeq and is a predicted model, not a curated record. NCBI's taxonomy places the organism in Eukaryota, Metazoa, Chordata, Mammalia, Carnivora, Canidae.
GGAGAAAAUGGUAAUAACAUUCUUGGAAAAGUAAACUUGGGAAGGGGAGUUGUUUUGCUUUACUGUGUGGUUGUUGGUGGGAGGACUGGACUAGCAAGUCAUGCAGACCUGGUUGAAGCUUGAGUUUGGACUACCCUAUGAUUAGGGAAGGGGCUCAAGGAGUGGGAAGGACCAAGAGUGGAGCCUGGGGGAUGAUUAUAUCUGGGGUGCAAAAAUAAAGGGAAGCAAGUGAUGAAUGGGCUGCAUAAGGGGCCCCCUGAGGAGACUGAAGUUCCAAUCUUAGCUCCCAAACCAAAACACUGUCCAUCUUACCUUUAGUCUUCUCAAAGUCUCAUUUGCUCUGCUGUCAUUUCCCAUCAGUGUGUAGGAAUCAGUUUUCCCCAUCCUAUCACAGCCCUGUGAAGAAGAUAACUUUAAUUUACUCUUGGUUAUACAGUUAAGAUGGUAAUUUUCAGGCCAAAUUCUCUAGAUUGUGUCUCUUAUUUUGUUUUUCAAAUCAUGUGAUGAUUUUCCUGCCAAGGACUGUAGAAUGAUAAAGAAUAGUAUCUUAAACAAUAGAUUUCUCAUGAAGGAUGUAUUUUGUAUUUGUUUUUUCCUUUGGUUUUUUAAGCAACUUGGGUUAUUUACCGUAUGAAUCACUUCUUCCCUCAGGUAACUGUCAGAGGUGGAAAACCAAGGUACCUUACAAAGUUUCAAACAGAUUCGAGGCAGAUGCUGUAAAGUUUAGGAAAUAGCAGGUACAGAGGAAACAGAUUACUGCGUUCCAGUUAUAUAGAAGAACUAAAUAAGUGAUGCAUCAUCAUGAUGGUUUAGAUUUGAAUUAAGAAAGCGAUCAUACCAACAAAAAGAAAACGUGACAUUAUAAAGCCUUUGGAAUUAAAUAAAACAGCAAAUAAAUUGAAUUGCAUAUGUG